Molecule: long non-coding RNA, 729 nt
Organism: Pomacea canaliculata
Lineage: Eukaryota; Metazoa; Mollusca; Gastropoda; Architaenioglossa; Ampullariidae
Exons: 2
Source: RefSeq, a predicted model, not a curated record
GACCUGUUCAUGCAAAAAAUGAAUGCCUUCCCAACCCCUCCUACAAUUCUCUUUCAAUUUCAAUCACUUGACCAACUUUAAAGCAAUGUUUUAACAAGUAUGGCCAACUUUCAAAUUUUACACAAAUAACUAUUAUUAUGGCAGACAUGGUCCAAAGGCUAGAAGAGUAAUGAAGUUCAAAGGGAGGAAGGACAGAGUGGAGACAGCAAAGAGUUUGCACAGACUCUUCAUCCCUUAGGGAAGGUGACUAACACCGAGUAGGACACGAGCACUGUCAAAAAGACUGUCUCUAAACUCCUACAUAUGAGAUCAGCUUUUAGAGGAAAAGAAUAUUGCACAUUGAGCCCAAAACUGUAAAAGAAAAAUAAAAAGAAAGUCACAAGUUAAACAUUUAGAAACCUCUCCUAUAACAUUUGAAUAGGAAAUUUCUGAAAAAUCUACACCAACGGUCCCAUUGGUCAGCCUCUCAUUAUAAUUACCCAGUUACUUAAUCGUCUAUCACAAAAUUAUUUAUUCAUUCGUUCAACCUACUUCUGAGUGACUUCGUGACAUCCGCAUGUUUCCGGUUCUCAUGGGACAAUUCAUUGGUGGAGAAGAUGUUCCUGUUUGUCCGCGUGACGCCUUUUCACUCAACCAUGCAUUUCCUUAAAGUUUUACCAGAGACGACUGUUAUUUAUGAACGACUGGAUUUUGUUCUCUGCAAAAUAAAACAUUGCUAAUCUGACCCAA